This 337-nucleotide unclassified non-coding RNA is filed under the name soil metagenome. Its description in RNAcentral is "partial contains 5.8S ribosomal RNA, internal transcribed spacer 2, and large subunit ribosomal RNA". The stretch from base 1 to 120 matches the Rfam family "5.8S ribosomal RNA", at positions 35 to 154 of the family's 154-position model. The record is from RNAcentral.
GAUGAAGAACGCAGCGAAAUGCGAUAAGUAAUGUGAAUUGCAGAAUUCCGUGAAUCAUCGAAUCUUUGAACGCAUAUUGCGCCCUCUGGUAUUCCGGGGGGCAUGCCUGUCCGAGCGUCAUUACAACCUUCAAGCACGGCUUGGCUGUUGAGCGGUCUGUUUUGACGAACAGGGCUCGAAAUGCAGUGGCGACGGCGAGAUUGGUGCCCGAGCGUAUGGGGCUUUGUCACACGCUCUGGUGGCUCCACUCGCAGUCUGCCAUAGACCCAAUCAAUCUGAUUGACCUCGGAUCAGGUAGGAACACCCGCUGAACUUAAGCAUAUCAAUAAGCGGAGGA